Molecule: ribosomal RNA, 301 nt
Filed under: uncultured bacterium
Lineage: Bacteria
Description: partial 16S ribosomal RNA
Rfam family: Bacterial small subunit ribosomal RNA
Source: RNAcentral
CAGCCGCCACGGUAAUACGAAGGGGGCUAGCGUUGCUCGGAAUUACUGGGCGUAAAGGGAGCGUAGGCGGAUCGUUUAGUCAGGGGUGAAAUCCCGGGGCUCAACCUCGGAACUGCCUUUGGUACUGGCGAUCUUGAGUAUGGGAGAGGUGUGUGGAACUCCGAGUGUAGAGGUGAAAUUCGUAGAUAUUCGGAAGAACACCAGUGGCGAAGGCGACACACUGGCCCAUUACUGACGCUGAGGCUCGAAAGCGUGGGGAGCAAACAGGAUUAGAUACCCCUGUAGUCCCUGUCUCUUAUAA